CGAAGAUACCAGCUGGCUGCAACUGUUUAAUAAAAACACAGCACUGUGCAAACACGAAAGUGGACGUAUACGGUGUGACGCCUGCCCGGUGCUGGAAGGUUAAUUGAUGGGGUCAGCCGCAAGGCGAAGCUCUUGAUCGAAGCCCCAGUAAACGGCGGCCGUAACUAUAACGGUCCUAAGGUAGCGAAAUUCCUUGUCGGGUAAGUUCCGACCUGCACGAAUGGCGUAAUGAUGGCCAGGCUGUCUCCACCCGAGACUCAGUGAAAUUGAACUCGCUGUGAAGAUGCAGUGUACCCGCGGCAAGACGGAAAGACCCCGUGAACCUUUACUAUAGCUUGACACUGAACAUUGAGCCUUGAUGUGUAGGAUAGGUGGGAGGCUUUGAAGCGUGGACGCCAGUCUGCGUGGAGCCAUCCUUGAAAUACCACCCUUUAAUGUUUGAUGUUCUAACUCGGCCCCAUAAUCUGGGGUGAGGACAGUGUCUGGUGGGUAGUUUGACUGGGGCGGUCUCCUCCCAAAGAGUAACGGAGGAGCACGAAGGUUAGCUAAUCACGGUCGGACAUCGUGAGGUUAGUGCAAAGGCAUAAGCUAGCUUGACUGCGAGAGUGACGGCUCGAGCAGGUACGAAAGUAGGUCUUAGUGAUCCGGUGGUUCUGAAUGGAAGGGCCAUCGCUCAACGGAUAAAAGGUACUCCGGGGAUAACAGGCUGAUACCGCCCAAGAGUUCAUAUCGACGGCGGUGUUUGGCACCUCGAUGUCGGCUCAUCACAUCCUGGGGCUGAAGUAGGUCCCAAGGGUAUGGCUGUUCGCCAUUUAAAGUGGUACGCGAGCUGGGUUUAGAACGUCGUGAGACAGUUCGGUCCCUAUCUGCCGUGGGCGUUGGAAGAUUGAGAGGGGUUGCUCCUAGUACGAGAGGACCGGAGUGAACGCACCACUGGUGUUCGGGUUGUCAUGCCAAUGGCAUUGCCCGGUAGCUAAGUGCGGAAAAGAUAAGCGCUGAAAGCAUCUAAGCGCGAAACUUGCCUCAAGAUGAGUCUUCCCUGGGCCUUUAAGGCCCCUGAAGGAACGUUUAAGACUAAGACGUUGAUAGGCUGGGUGUGUAAGUGCAGCGAUGCAUUGAGCUAACCAGUACUAAUGAUCCGUGAGGCUUAACCU
This 1154-nucleotide ribosomal RNA is filed under the name Serratia marcescens. RNAcentral describes it as "partial 23S ribosomal RNA". It matches the Rfam family "Bacterial large subunit ribosomal RNA", at positions 1778 to 2925 of the family's 2925-position model. Lineage: Bacteria; Pseudomonadati; Pseudomonadota; Gammaproteobacteria; Enterobacterales; Yersiniaceae. The record is from RNAcentral.